CGCCUGUUUAUCAAAAACAUCUUUUCUUGUUAGUUUUUGAAGUAUGGCCUGCCCGCUGACUUGAGUGUUGAAGGGCCGCGGUAUUUUGACCGUGCAAAGGUAGCAUAAUCAUUAGUUCUUUAAUUGUGAUCUGGAAUGAAUGGCUUGACGAGGCACUGGCUGUCUUAGUGAUGAAUGUUUUAUUGAAUUUGGUCUUUGAGUUAAAAUUCUUAAAUGUUUUUGUGGGACGAGAAGACCCUAUAGAGUUUUACAUUUGGUUUGUUUAUUUCUUUGUUGUUUGUUUUGUUUUUGGUAAGCGGGCUUUUUGUUUUGUUGGGGUGAUGAGAGGAAUAUAAUUUAACUCCUCUUGGUUUUGGUUAUAUUGAUUUGUAUUUAUUUGAUCCAUUUAUUUUGAUUAUAAGACUAAAUUACCUUAGGGAUAACAGCGUAA
RNAcentral lists this ribosomal RNA (430 nucleotides) under Coptotermes sjoestedti. RNAcentral describes it as "partial 16S ribosomal RNA". The stretch from base 1 to 175 matches the Rfam family "Bacterial large subunit ribosomal RNA", at positions 1797 to 2031 of the family's 2925-position model. Lineage: Eukaryota; Metazoa; Arthropoda; Insecta; Blattodea; Rhinotermitidae. The record is from RNAcentral.